This 245-nucleotide ribosomal RNA is filed under the name uncultured bacterium. Its description in RNAcentral is "partial small subunit ribosomal RNA". It matches the Rfam family "Bacterial small subunit ribosomal RNA", at positions 26 to 285 of the family's 1533-position model. The record is from RNAcentral.
AGAAUCAACGCUGGCGGCGUGCCUAACACAUGCAAGUCGAACGAGAAAGUGGAGCAAUCCAUGAGUAAAGUGGCGCACGGGUGAGUAACACGUGACUAACCUACCUUUUAGUGGGGGAUAACCUAGGGAAACCUGGGCUAAUACCGCAUAACACUUACGAGUCAAAGCAGCAAUGCGCUGAAAGAGGGGGUCGCGGUCGAUUAGUUAGUUGGCAGGGUAAUGGCCUACCAAGACUGUGAUCGAUA